AUGCAGCUGGUGGAGUCUGGGGGAGACCUGGUGAAGCCUGAGGGGUCCCUGAGACUCUCCUGUGCAGCCUCUGGAUUCACCUUCAGUAGCUACGGCAUGAGCUGGGUCCGCCAGGCUCCAGGGAAUGGGCUGCAGUGGGUCGCAGGUAUUAGCUAUGAUGGAAGUAGCACAUACUAUGCAGACUCUGUAAAGGGCCGAUUCACCAUCUCCAGAGACAACGGCAAGAACACGCUGUAUCUUCAGAUGAACAGCCUGAGAGCCGAGGACACGGCCGUGUAUUACUGUGCAACAGACACAGUGAGGGGAUAUCAGUGUGAGCCCAGACACAAACCUCACUGUAGGACGGGAUCUGGACCACCAGGGGGUGCACACUACUCACGAAUUCUGUCGUAA
This is a non-coding RNA of Mustela lutreola (European mink), 393 nucleotides long. Lineage: Eukaryota; Metazoa; Chordata; Mammalia; Carnivora; Mustelidae. The record is from the annotation of a RefSeq genome assembly.